This 479-nucleotide ribosomal RNA is filed under the name uncultured bacterium. RNAcentral's name for it is "bacterial SSU rRNA". It matches the Rfam family "Bacterial small subunit ribosomal RNA", at positions 107 to 598 of the family's 1533-position model. The record is from RNAcentral.
UGAGUAACGCGUGGGUAACCUACCCCAAAGUCCGGGAUAACAGCGGGAAACCGCUGCUAAUACCGGAUGCCUUUACCUUGAGGCAUCUUGAGGUAAAGAAAGGUAACGCUUUGGGAUGGGCCCGCGUCCCAUUAGCUAGUUGGUGAGGUAACGGCUCACCAAGGCGACGAUGGGUAGCCGGCCUGAGAGGGUGGACGGCCACACUGGGACUGAGACACGGCCCAGACUCCUACGGGAGGCAGCAGUAGGGAAUAUUGCGCAAUGGACGGAAGUCUGACGCAGCGACGCCGCGUGAGCGAUGAAGGUCUUCGGAUCGUAAAGCUCUGUCCUUGGGGAAGAAGGCGAAAGCUUGACGGUACCCAAGAAGAAAGCCCCGGCUAACUACGUGCCAGCAGCCGCGGUAAUACGUAGGGGGCGAGCGUUGUCCGGAAUUACUGGGCGUAAAGGGUGCGUAGGCGGCCCUUUAAGUCGGAUGUGAA